Mauremys mutica (yellowpond turtle) is the source of this 482-nucleotide long non-coding RNA. RefSeq lists it as uncharacterized. The transcript is spliced from 3 exons. The record is from RefSeq and is a predicted model, not a curated record. Lineage: Eukaryota; Metazoa; Chordata; Testudines; Geoemydidae.
CCCAUGUUCUGUGGAGGGACUGUUAUUGACGGGACGCCAGUGGGGAAUUAGGCUGGAAGCAACUCGCCACAUAGACAAAGCCAUCCACAGGGUUUAUAAAAGGUCCACUUGUUCCACUUAGCCUGCAUUCAGUUUUGCUCACUGCUAAUGAAACACACCAGCUGCCAUUGCAUCAGAUGAGAAGAGUUGGAGUGCAGUGGAGCGCCGGCUGGGCCUUCUGCCAGCACAUGUCCUAUCCUGGAGACUGCACCUGGGGAAGUCUGUAUGAUAAAGAUGUACCAAGCCACUGCUCCUCAGAUAUAGCUCCAAGUGAUCAUAAAUAAGUGGUUUAGUGGACAGGGCACUGGACUGGGACCCAGGAGACAUGGAGGGGAUGUAUCCUUGGCUCUGCUGGAGACCCUGGUUUUGAUGUGGAGGAUAAUUUGAAAACGCAUUGAGAAGUAUAUCCACAUAGUAACGUCACCUGAGCAAGGAGGGAGAAG